CGGUGCAGUACCCCUGUAAUAUUGACCCUGCAAAACAUUUUGUAGAAGCUUAUUCUGUCUUUUUUUUUCUUGACAGCCACUGCUCCUAGAGCAGCAUUUGACUGGCUUGGCACGACAAUUUGCUGCGCAUGGGCACUAGCUUCCCAAUGCUUCCAUACGCAGGCUAAUUGGAUUACCUGAGCUUAUUAGAACUGAUAAUCAGGGACGUAUUAGCCGCGAGGCAAACAAGGCAUUUGCC
Pelobates cultripes (western spadefoot toad) is the source of this 238-nucleotide non-coding RNA. NCBI's taxonomy places the organism in Eukaryota, Metazoa, Chordata, Amphibia, Anura, Pelobatidae. The record is from the annotation of a GenBank genome assembly.